This 74-nucleotide transfer RNA is filed under the name Bacteroidales bacterium. Its description in RNAcentral is "tRNA-Thr". It matches the Rfam family "tRNA". From Rfam's summary of the family: Transfer RNA (tRNA) molecules are approximately 80 nucleotides in length. Their secondary structure includes four short double-helical elements and three loops (D, anti-codon, and T loops). Further hydrogen bonds mediate the characteristic L-shaped molecular structure. tRNAs have two regions of fundamental functional importance: the anti-codon, which is responsible for specific mRNA codon recognition, and the 3' end, to which the tRNAs corresponding amino acid is attached (by aminoacyl-tRNA synthetases). tRNAs cope with the degeneracy of the genetic code in two manners: having more than one tRNA (with a specific anti-codon) for a particular amino acid; and 'wobble' base-pairing, i.e. permitting non-standard base-pairing at the 3rd anti-codon position. Lineage: Bacteria; Pseudomonadati; Bacteroidota; Bacteroidia; Bacteroidales. The record is from RNAcentral.
GCCACUGUAGCUCAGUUGGCCAGAGCGGCUGAUUUGUAAUCAGCGGGUCGGGGGUUCGAAUCCCUCUAGUGGCU